Molecule: ribosomal RNA, 460 nt
Filed under: uncultured bacterium
Lineage: Bacteria
Description: SSU rRNA
Rfam family: Bacterial small subunit ribosomal RNA
Source: RNAcentral
AGAGCGAACGCUGGCGGCAGGCCUAAUACAUGCAAGUCGAACGGACCCUUCGGGGUUAGUGGCGGACGGGUGAGUAACACGUGGGAACGUGCCCUUUGGUUCGGAACAACUCAGGGAAACUUGAGCUAAUACCGAAUGUGCCCCCAUCCUUAAACAAGAUGGGUGGGAAAGAUUUAUCGCCAUUGGAGCGGCCCGCGUCUGAUUAGCUAGUUGGUGAGGUAAAGGCUCACCAAGGCGACGAUCAGUAGCUGGUCUGAGAGGAUGAUCAGCCACACUGGGACUGAGACACGGCCCAGACUCCUACGGGAGGCAGCAGUAGGGAAUCUUGCGCAAUGGGCGAAAGCCUGACGCAGCCAUGCCGCGUGAAUGAUGAAGGUCUUAGGAUUGUAAAAUUCUUUCAGCGGGACGAUAAUGACGGUACCCGCAGAAGAAGCCCGGCUAACUUCGCGCCAGCAGCCGC